Molecule: ribosomal RNA, 121 nt
Filed under: Methanobacterium sp.
Lineage: Archaea; Methanobacteriati; Methanobacteriota; Methanobacteria; Methanobacteriales; Methanobacteriaceae
Source: RNAcentral
UACGGCGACCAUAGCGGAGGGGCCACACCUGGACUCGUCCCGAUCCCAGAAGUAAAGUCCUCCAGCGAUUUGGAUUGUACUGUAGGCGCGGGCCUAUGGGAACUUCAAGACGUUGCCGGCC